UACGUAGGGUGCAAGCGUUAUCCGGAAUUAUUGGGCGUAAAGAGCUCGUAGGCGGUUUGUCGCGUCUGCUGUGAAAACUGGGGGCUCAACCCCCAGCCUGCAGUGGGUACGGGCAGACUAGAGUGCGGUAGGGGAGACUGGAAUUCCUGGUGUAGCGGUGAAAUGCGCAGAUAUCAGGAGGAACACCGGGUGGCGAAGGCGGGGUCUCUGGGCCGUAACUGACGC
This 225-nucleotide ribosomal RNA is filed under the name uncultured bacterium. RNAcentral's name for it is "partial 16S ribosomal RNA". It matches the Rfam family "Bacterial small subunit ribosomal RNA", at positions 524 to 746 of the family's 1533-position model. The record is from RNAcentral.